Molecule: ribosomal RNA, 492 nt
Filed under: uncultured bacterium
Lineage: Bacteria
Description: partial 16S ribosomal RNA
Rfam family: Bacterial small subunit ribosomal RNA
Source: RNAcentral
AGUGAACGCUGGCGGUAGGCCUAACACAUGCAAGUCGAACGGCAGCACAGUAAGAGCUUGCUCUUACGGGUGGCGAGUGGCGGACGGGUGAGGAAUACAUCGGAAUCUACUUUUUCGUGGGGGAUAACGUAGGGAAACUUACGCUAAUACCGCAUACGACCUACGGGUGAAAGCAGGGGAUCUUCGGACCUUGCGCGAUUGAAUGAGCCGAUGUCGGAUUAGCUAGUUGGCGGGGUAAAGGCCCACCAAGGCGACGAUCCGUAGCUGGUCUGAGAGGAUGAUCAGCCACACGGGAACUGAGACACGGUCCAGACUCCUACGGGAGGCAGCAGUGGGGAAUAUUGGACAAUGGGCGCAAGCCUGAUCCAGCCAUACCGCGUGGGUGAAGAAGGCCUUCGGGUUGUAAAGCCCUUUUGUUGGGAAAGAAAAGCAGCAGGUUAACACCCCGCUGUUCUGACGGUACCCAAAGAAUAAGCACCGGCUAACUUCGUG